RNAcentral lists this ribosomal RNA (540 nucleotides) under Alloalcanivorax dieselolei. Its description in RNAcentral is "bacterial SSU rRNA". It matches the Rfam family "Bacterial small subunit ribosomal RNA", at positions 237 to 770 of the family's 1533-position model. The record is from RNAcentral. Lineage: Bacteria; Pseudomonadati; Pseudomonadota; Gammaproteobacteria; Oceanospirillales; Alcanivoracaceae.
CGGAUUAGCUUGUUGGUGGGGUAAUGGCCCACCAAGGCGACGAUCCGUAACUGGUCUGAGAGGAUGGGCAGUCACACCGGGACUGACACACGGCCCGGACUCCUACGGGAGGCAUUGUGGGGAAUCUUGCACAAUGGGCGCAAGCCUGAUCCAGCCAUGCCGCGUGUGUGAAGAAGGCCUUCGGGUUGUAAAGCACUUUCAGUAAGGAGGAAGGCUUCGGGUUAAUACCCUGGAGUACUUGACGUUACCUACAGAAGAAGCACCGGCUAAUUUCGUGCCAGCAGCCGCGGUAAUACGAAAGGUGCGAGCGUUAAUCGGAAUUACUGGGCGUAAAGCGCGCGUAGGUGGUGUGUUAAGUCGGAUGUGAAAGCCCAGGGCUCAACCUUGGAAUUGCAUCCCAUACUGGCUCACUAUAGUGCGGUAGAGGGAAGUGGAAUUUCCGGUGUAGCGGUGAAAUGCGUAGAUAUCGGAAGGAACACCAGUGGCGAAGGCGGCCUCCUGGACUGACACUGACGCUGACGUGCGAAAGCGUGGGGAGCA